GUAAUUUUAGUUUAAGAAUAAAAUAGUGAUUUGUCUAGUCAUAGAUGAUAUAAAUAUCAAGUUACU
Molecule: transfer RNA, 66 nt
Filed under: Hydatigera taeniaeformis
Lineage: Eukaryota; Metazoa; Platyhelminthes; Cestoda; Cyclophyllidea; Taeniidae
Also listed under: 1 other name
Description: tRNA-Asp
Source: RNAcentral